UACGUAGGGGGCAAGCGUUAUCCGGAUUUACUGGGUGUAAAGGGGGCGCAGACGGCGAUGCAAGCCAGGAGUGAAAGCCCGGGGCCCAACCCCGGGACUGCUCUUGGAACUGCGUGGCUGGAGUGCAGGAGGGGCAGGCGGAAUUCCUGGUGUAGCGGUGAAAUGCGUAGAUAUCAAGAGGAACACCGGUGGCGAAGGCGGCCUGCUGGACUGCAACUGACGUUGAGGCCCGAAAGCGUGGGGAGCAAACAGG
RNAcentral lists this ribosomal RNA (253 nucleotides) under uncultured bacterium. RNAcentral describes it as "partial 16S ribosomal RNA". It matches the Rfam family "Bacterial small subunit ribosomal RNA", at positions 524 to 776 of the family's 1533-position model. The record is from RNAcentral.